GUGCUGGCUUUGUGAGCACAUGUGCUAAAACUGGAAGAUUAGCAUGGCCCCUGCACAAGGAAGGCAUACAACUUUGUGAAGUGUUCUGUAUUUUU
This 95-nucleotide small nuclear RNA is filed under the name Microcebus murinus (gray mouse lemur). Lineage: Eukaryota; Metazoa; Chordata; Mammalia; Primates; Cheirogaleidae. The record is from RNAcentral.